Molecule: RNA transcript, 3022 nt
Organism: Aedes albopictus (Asian tiger mosquito)
Lineage: Eukaryota; Metazoa; Arthropoda; Insecta; Diptera; Culicidae
Exons: 6
Source: RefSeq, a predicted model, not a curated record
GAGAGCACGCAAGCGCAGCAUAAAAAUGUCACUGGAAAACAGUAUGGACGAAGAGUACGACGACAGUGGACCACAAUUUGACCCAGCUUCUUCGAUGGGAACACUGAAAAGGAUCAAGUUGGAAAGUGAUGGCCCGAUGGAUGGGUCGGCCACCAUCACCGGUGGUGGGCCUAACAGCCUUACCGAGCUGUUGCGAAGUAUCAAGAGUGGCUUGGACAUGCGCGCCCGAAGUGAAGAUAGUGGGGCGAGUUCGAGCGGGGUCGGGCCGGAUCGGACUGGUGGGGGAGGGAUCUACGGCGGCAGUGGUGGGGUGUGUGGCAGUGGCCUGAAUAAUAACAGUGACGCUUACAACAAUAACAACACCAACAACAAUAACAAUUCGAUCAAGACGAAGAUCGGCGAGGUGGAAGAGGCGAAAUUUAGUGAGUUUAGCAAAUUUUUGGGUGACAACGAGAAGGACGAGAACGUGACGACGGUGAUAGAGCUGCUGCAUGAAAACUAUGGAUUGAUUCAACGGUACGCCUCGGGCUACGACUGCAACCAGGAAAAGUGCCAGUACGAGAACCUGCACGAGCACUUCCACUGCUACGACACCUUCUGCCGGGGGAAGGUCCUGUACAAGAAGUACGAAAUCAUCCGGCACCUGAAGUGGCACAAGAAGCGCAAGGAGUCGCUCAAGUAUGGGUUCUAUCGGUUCUCGUCGUCGGACGACUGCAGCAUUCAGUACGGGCAGUGCCAGCAUAACCACAAGCACACGCACUACCACUGCGUGCACGAGAACUGUGAUAAGGUGUACAUUAGUACGAGCGAUGUGCAGAUGCAUGCCAACUACCACCGGAAGCACGAGGCAAUCGUUAAGAAUGGUUUUCAACGGUUUCGGGCUACGGAAGAGUGCAACACGGAUCAUUGUGCGUUCAAGGGACAAAAGACCACCCACUUCCAUUGUCGGAGGGAGAACUGCAAGUACACCUUCAAGAACAAAGCUGAUAUGGAAAAGCACAAAACCUAUCACCUGAAGGACGAGAUGCUGCUGCGCGAUGGAUACAAAAAGUUCCUCAAAACCGAAGACUGCACGUACAAAAACUGUCGCUUCUCGCGGGUUUGCAAUCACAUCCACUGUAUGCACGAAAACUGCCACUACGUGCUGCACUCCAGUGGCCAAUUGCUCAGUCACAAGCGCAAACACGAGCGUAUGGACACCGAGGUGGACUACCGAAAGUUGCAGAUGGCUCGCAAUUUGCUGAGCAAGUUCGGAAUGGGCCGCGAUGGGGAUGGUUCAUCCGGUGGCAAGGAAGAUGACGAAGUUCCGACGUCUCCGAACGCUGGAGAGAACGUAGCGCCGAGGAAUCCAGUUGUCGAACUGCUGGCUAUAAUGUCAGAGUUGACGUUUAGGACGCUUCCGCUGCAGAUAAUGCUUCACAUGCGAAUGCAAAUGCUUCAGAAUAUGGGGUAUGAUCAGGUCUUUGCACCGGAUAAUGUGGAGAGCUUGAAGAAUUUGGCGGAAAGUGGACUGAACGAAGAGUACUUGAAACAGUUGUAUAAGUUUAAUGAGAACAUUUGUCAGCUGAACGAACGUGCCAUGCUGGAUGUGAAUCCAGCGCUUUCCGAGCUAGCGAAGAGUCAAGGAAGUCCUACUCCCAGGAGUUAUACAAACGUAGGGGAGCACUACACCCAAUUCAAACGAAAACUGGAUGUUGAUCCGAUUGCUGGUCCAUCAACGCAAGCUCAAGAUCCAACAUUCUUCAAUCCAGCGUUAAACAAGUCAAAAUUACUGUCGAAUCCUUCGGUAGACUAUCGGCUUCUGAAGAAGGAUGAUUCAGGACUGGGUGAAGCCCCAGCAGAUACCAACAUCGUUGACCGACAAAAACCUUUACUGGAAAGUGCUAACUUCCUGCAGUUUAGCUCGAGCAAAACCUUGUUCAACCGGAAACGAGGUCGACCAAGGAAAAACCAUGUCAUGGAAGUGUACAACAAUGCUCAGGAUUCCCCACAGGCCAUAUUCACCAGUUUCAAGUUGGAGAAAAAUGACUCGAAAGCACCGAACCAGGACUGCCAUCGCGACAACACAGCAGAAUCAGACCUCAAACAUAGGAGAGACCUGCACAACAGAAGCGACGAGGAAGAUGGUGCCAAACGGCACCGCAGUUUGAGUCCCUCGAAAAUGUUCCUUCCCAUGUUGGAUGUUCCGUCGUCAUCGUCAUCGAUGCCCAUGUUUGCAACUCCGGAUUUUGGAGGGUUCUCACAAAUUUUGGAGAAACAUAUGCGGGAAAUCAAAGCCGAACCGAGUGCGACGGUCACCCAGCAGAUCGAUCUUUCCCACAAAGAUAAGUCCCGCAACCACUUGAAAUGCGUAGUUUGCAACAAUUCCUUCGAAACCUUCGCCGACAUCAAAGAGCACGAAUGCCACCAGGCCAAGGAAGCGGAAAAGCCCCUGCUCACUUUCCCACCCGGCUUAACAAUGCACCAACCACCCGCUUUUCGUAGUGCCUACCCACCGGAUGCGGAAACCAGUCGACUGAUCUACGCACCCACUCCGAUGGGUCUACCGGCUGCACCGUCCGCUGCCAAGGAAUCGAUUUCGCUGGUCAAAACCACCGGAACGUUUUUUCCGGACGUGAACGCCAACAAGUUGAAGUAUUUUUGAGAUUUUUUUUGUAGAGAUUCCACUAAGUAGGUAGGAUGUAAGAUAGAGGCUCAAAAUGUAGAAUUGUACGUACUAAGUGAAUUCAACAUACUGUGUCAUAGUGAAAUUGAGGAGAUCGACAAUGCCAUAUUUGUUUGGCCAUAAGAUAAUUCUAUAUAUUACACUCUUAAUUGCGAGAGUUAGUUAAGCAGAAGAUUUAGAAAAACAAUAUCGUAUUAGUAUUAGAGCAAAUGUAUUAUUUAUAAACGAGAGUCAAACGGUACUAAGAAGUUGAGAUCAUAAGAAUAUUUACUGUGAUUGAGACCUUCAAAAUACAGUAAUAGAACAUAGUUUGUAAAUUUUUAAUUGAAAAAUCUGUAAAUAAACUGUUGAAUCAUA